Long non-coding RNA from Astatotilapia calliptera (eastern happy), 639 nucleotides. NCBI's taxonomy places the organism in Eukaryota, Metazoa, Chordata, Actinopteri, Cichliformes, Cichlidae. The record is from Ensembl.
GUUGGAGUGGUCAGAAGCACUUGGUAUGGACAUCAAGUUGUUAUUAAGUUCUGUUUUUCCUGAGAAUUUCAUUUUUUUUUGCACUUUAAGUUGCUAUUAAGUUUCUCAAGCUCUUUGUUUUCCCUGAGCAUUUCAUUGUUUUUGCACUUUAAAUUGUUAUUAAUUUCCUCGAGCUCUGUGUUUUCCUUGAGCAUUUUCUUCUUUUUGUAUUUUAAGUUGUUAUUAAUUUCCUCGAGCUCUGUGUUUUCCUUGAGCAUUUUCUUGUUUUUGUAUUUUAAGUUGUUAUUAAUUUCCUCGAGCUCUGUGUUUUCUUUGAGCAUUUUCUUCUUUUUGUAUUUUAAGUUGUUAUUAAUUUCCUCGAGCUCUGUGUUUUCCCUGAGCAUUUUCUUGUUUUUGUAUUUUAAGUUGUUAUUAAUUUCCUCGAGCUCUGUGUUUUCCUUGAGCAUUUUCUUGUUUUUGUAUUUUAAGUUGUUAUGAAGUUCCUCAAGCUCUGUGCUCUUUUUUAGGAUUUCACUGUAUUUGUAGUUUAAGUUCUUAUUCUGUCCCUCGAGCUCUGUGUUCUUUCUCAGGAUUUCAUCAAUUUUGUAUUUUAAGAUGUUACAAAGUUCCACAAGCUCUGAGUUCUUGCUUAGCAUUUCA